CCACCUCCACCUUCACCGCCUUCAGAGCGUCCUAUUCAGUCUCCACCUCCAUUUUCACCGCCUUCAAGUCGUCCCCCUUCAUCUCCUCCUUCUCCUUCGCCGCCUUCAGAUCGUCCCAUUCAGUCUCCUCCUUCACCACCAGAAAACACCAGUCCACCGCCUUCAGAUUCUUUGCCACCACCAACAUUCUCUUCUCCUCCGGUACCAGGUCCCAAUAAUCCACCUCAAAACAACCUUACUCCUAGUUCUCCUGAUACUUCAAAUCCAACUCAUAGUACUAGUGGCAUCGGUACUGGACCUAUCCUUGGCAUCACCGUCGCAGUGGCGCUUGUGGUGUUCAGUCUCAUUGGCCUCCUUAUCUGGUGCAUAAGAAGACGAGAAAAACGGCUUUCAGCUGUUAGUGGUGGCUACGUCACACCAUCACCAAGAUCAGGUACUACUUUGAUUAACAUGUCACUUUUGUUUCUUACAUAAUGCCAUUUCUUGAUCUCUCACUACACAUGCACAGACUCAGCUUUCUUUAGAACGCAGUCAUCUGCACCAGGGAGUCAUCGCACGUACUUCUCACAGUCACAAUCAGGCGGGUUAGGCAACUCAAAGGCCUUGUUCUCGUACCAAGAACUUGUCAAGGCAACGAACGGGUUCUCGGAAGAGAAUCUAUUAGGAGAAGGUGGAUUUGGUUGUGUAUAUAGAGGGGUGUUACCAGAUGGGAGACUCGUAGCUGUGAAACAGCUUAAAGUAGGUGGAGGACAAGGUGACCGUGAGUUCAAAGCUGAGGUUGAGACGCUUAGCAGAAUCCAUCAUCGUCAUUUGGUUUCCAUCGUGGGACAUUGCAUCUCUGAUGACCGUAGAUUGCUUAUUUAUGAUUUUGUCUCUAACAAUGACCUUUACUUCCACCUUCAUGGUUAGUAAAAAAGCAUUUUACAAUUCAUAUAUACAUGGAUGCACACACCACUGGUACUUACAUUACGUCUUCUGAAUAGUAUCCAAAGAGGUUCUGGACUGGGCAACACGAGUUAGAAUCGCUGCUGGUGCAGCUCGUGGACUAGCUUACCUCCAUGAAGAUUGUAAGUUGCUUCUCACCUCACUGGUUUUAACCUUUUCAGUCAUUUUUUCUUGCUUUUGAUUGUAACCUUUUAAACCAUUUGGCUAUUCUUACUGAGCUGUCUAUUGUCAGGUCACCCGCGGAUCAUCCACAGGGACAUUAAGUCGUCUAACAUUCUUUUAGAGGACAACUUUGAUGCUCGGGUAACACAUUACUCCCCCUAUUCUUGAUUUUUCAAGGUUUUAGUUACAUGGUGACUAGUGCCGGUCCUGAGAUUUGGGGGAGGCUUCAGGUGAUUUAGUAAAGGUUUUGAAUAAUUUUUUUUUUUACAAAUUUGGGAAACUAUAUCUAUAUAAUUCGUUUCAAAAAAUUUGUGGGCUUUAGGCUAAUGUUUCACUAGGCUAUGCCCAAGACCGGCUCUAAUUAUUGGUGAAUUUGACAAUAUCUAAACCUCUCACUCUCUUGUAGGUUUCUGACUUUGGUCUUGCAAGAUUAGCUCUUGAUUGUAACACUCAUAUCACCACAAGGGUUAUGGGAACAUUUGGGUACAUUCUUGCUUGCCUAGUUUUGAUUAAAGGGCACAAGAUUGGCAUCUACUUGAUAUUUUUUUUACCUCAUUCAUCCUUUUGCAGCUACUUGGCUCCUGAAUAUGCAUCAAGUGGGAAACUAACAGAGAAAUCAGAUGUAUACUCCUUUGGAGUUGUUCUUCUUGAGUUAAUCACUGGACGUAAACCUGUUGAUACAUCUCAACCACUUGGAGAGGAGAGCCUUGUUGAAUGGGUACACCUUCUAUUCCAACCUUACUUAACCUGUAAAACAUGAUUAGUCCUUGAGCUGUUUCCCAGCUCUGUUGUUGUUCAGGCACGGCCACUGAUAAGUCAUGCCAUCGAAACCGAGGAGUUCGGUUCUUUAGCAGACCCUAAGCUUGGAGGAAACUAUGUGGAUUCCGAAAUGUUUAGAAUGAUUGAAGCAGCAGGAGCCUGCGUGCGCCAUUCAGCUGCCAAGAGACCCCGGAUGGGUCAAGUACAUAACAUUUUCUCUUCUUGUUUACUCUCAAGAGUUUUUUACUUUUGCUUAGAAAUUUGAAAUGUUUUUAUUGGCAGAUUGUGAGGGCUCUUGAGAGUUUAUCUGCGGAAGACCUCACUAAUGGGAUGAGACUAGGUGAAAGCGAGGUCUUUGACUCAGCUCAACAGUCAGCAGAGAUCAGAUUGUUCAGAAGAAUGGCUUUUGGUAGCCAAAACUACAGUACAGAUUUUUUCACACAUACUAGCUACAACAGCAGAGACCAAAACGUGUAAAUAUCAUACACAAGAUAUGUUUUUUUUUAUCUUCUCGGCGUUAAGAGGGAACAAAACCCAUCAAGAACAGCUAAGUUUUGUCUGAAAAGCUCCCAAGCUCACUUUCUUGAGUGCUCAAAACAGUAUGAAUCUCCUUUUGUUUCUUUGUUUACUCUUAACUUGUGUUCAUGUUCUUGUGUCCAUAUGGUGAAACUAAAGAGACUACCAAAUACAAUUUGCAGAAACAGACGAGCAUGUGGUAGAGGAAGAUGAGGAAUAAAGGUUUACUUAUGUUCUUGAGCAAGAGGGUUUUGUUUCUUACAUGAAAGCACUUUUUGUAUCUAUUUUUUUUUAUGUUUCUAAUUUUUUUUUAAAUCUUUACCUUCAAGUUUUAUGAUAAAUCAACAAGGAUCUUUCUGUGUCUCGUUGAAGAACGUGUUGAUCUGGCUCAAGUUAUACAUCUAAGAAGACGCAUUUACCCCUAUGAAUCACCAUGAUGGAGAGUAUAAUCAAAGGAACGUAGGAAACAAAAGAAUCUUAGUUGCUUUGACGUCCAAGAUACCUAAACAAUGCUUUUUUAAAGUGUAAAGAUCCCUUGUGGAUUUUCAUACAGUUAUGAGAAAAAACAAACACAUGGGAUGUUGCUUUGCGUUGCAUUGUUGAUACCAAUAUUGGCAAAGGAACACAUUCCUUUGACACAAUCCUAUGUAACCUCUCAAUCUAUGUUUCCUCCUUCCUUUAUAUCUUUGUUGUUUUACCUUAACAGUUUUCAAUGCAUCAAAAACAAUGGAACAAGAUUGUGGUGCUUUUACAGCAGAUUGUGUUGUCCUCUGUUGCUGCUGUGAGUGCUUUAUCCUACAGUUCUUUAUCUUCGUCUUCUACAAGAUGCCUUCUAAAGUUGCUCACAAGAUGAAGAGGUUUGUCAUCAGGAGGCUGCUCAGAGGAAAGAAGAGAAGAUUGCUGCCUGCAAAGGAUGAGGAUUGCAGAGAAGAGGAGCGUUUGCCUGGUGAUGUCUCCAGAGUUAGUUGCAUGGAAGAUAUUGAGGAGAUGUUGCAUGAGCUCUCCAUGGAGGGAGAGUUUGUAUUUGGGAGUUUCUGGCGUCAAGGAGAGACUACAAACGAUUUUGACUUCGGAAACUCACAAUAUGAAAUAGAAGAAACCAAUGAUCAUUCCUUUGUCAUUGCUCAUCACACAAGAUGUCUUCAUUGCUCUAAGAAUGACAAUAUAUUAAAGGAAUCUUGAAAGAGCCAAAGAGAAAAGACUUAGAUGCUAUCUCUCUACUAGAAGUAUGGUGUAUAAUCUUCAGAGUUCACUGUAAGAAUCUACUUUGUUAAUCAGGCAAGGCGCUCAAGAAUCAGAAUGUACAACUGGUUAACAGUCUAUUUACGUCCUGGCAAGUCGGUUGUAAAAUGGUUAACUCAUGAUUCAGGCUCUGACCUCCUCACUGAUCUCUUUUUAGCUUCUAAUCUUGCGGUGAACCCAACUGUUGUAGGCCUUAUUGAUCUUUGCCUCACCAUAUCACAGUACUCAGGGUCAUUACACUGACCCUCAUACCUCAGCCACUGUAUCAUCCCAUGGUACAUUGGGAAGAACCUCAUCUGAACCGCGGAGUAGAUGAAGUAAGGCAGCAAAGUAGAUACAACCACAAAGAGAGUGAUGACCCAGUAAGAAAGCGACGGCGCCAGAGCUUCAACAAAGACUCUAUACGCACUGGUUGAUAUACUCGCUGGAAGCUCUCCGUAGACGGUCAUGAAGAGGUACCAAACGAGGAUGGAUCCCCAAAUGACAAUGUGCUGGAUGAGUGUGAAGUAACUGAUGGCUAAUGCCAUCUGCAAGUUCACAACCCAGACGAUGCAUGUGUACAUUGUCCCUCCUAAUAUCUCUUUCCCAGGGGUUUUGCCUUGGUGGUUGAAAGCUUGUGGCUCAAGAGAGCUUUUGCAGAGGAAGAAGAUGAUUACUGCGCUGUAGAAUCCGUUGAACAUCCAUCCAAGUAUCCUCCGCCAGCUGAAGAGAACGUUUUGCACACCUUCUUGGUAUAACAGUGGAAACUGUGAAUCCAAAGACAAAACAAAGAGUUUAGUACACAUUGUUUAAUACUCUCUCCGUUCCCGAAAGAAUAUAUUAAAAAUACAAUAUAUGGUUACAAUUAAAUUUAUUAUUUAUUUUUACUAUACACUUUCCAAUAACUAUCAACCAAUGAUAUUUAAUCAAUUUAAAUAAGUUUAAUUAAUAUUUCUUAAUUAUAUACAAAAGUACUUUAAAAAUAUUGAAAAUCUAGUAUUUAUGGAACAAGAGGGAGUAUGUCAGAAGAGUAAAGCUGUUUUAAUGUAAUGAAAGAAGUUUACCUUGAGACAGUACCGUGCAGAUACAUCUUGGUCGAAGACACCAAGAGCAAUAACCGGAAGGGACGAGAAGCAAACAUUGUAAAGAGAUAGGAACCAAUCGUUGUAAGCAGGUGUUGAUGAGAAUGUUGUGUAUGCUUCAUACAAGAAGAGAGUGAAACCAAACGUAAUGUUCUUGUAGAAGAAGUAGCAAAUCUGUGAAACAGAGAAAACUACUGUCAAGAUUAUGUUAAAGAGACUCAUGUCACACGCACACUAAAGUGGGUAUAUACCAUUGUUGAGAUACGCCUGUAACACCAGUGUCCAUGGACUAAUAACAAACGUUCCAGAUAUCUAAACUGAGCAAUCGCAAUGUCACUUGACAUUACAGCCUGCAUGCCUUCCACACCGCUGAUGCCCACACCAAUAUCUGCUUCUUGAAGCAUCCCAACAUCAUUUGCGCCAUCACCAAUAGCUAAUGUUGUUUUACCAUUUCCAGAUUUUACUAGCCUUGUCACCUACAUUUGCCAUGUACUUCUUGAGAAAAAUCUUGACAGUAAACAAAAGUUUAAACCAAAGAAACUGACCAGAGCUUUCUGUUUUGGUGAUGAACGACAGCAAAUGACAGAAGCACAACCAACGGCGAGCUCUAAGAAGAUGUGUUUUAUAUCAUCGUCCAAGGCGUAAGCAAGUGACUUCCCAUCAAUGAUCAAAGCAAAAGCAUCAGAGUUCCCACCAGCAUACUUUAGCUGAGUCUUUCCAUUGAUUAUCUGCAAUAAGACAUUCUCUUUUGAUGCCUGCAAGAUCAAACCAACCACUUUGAUUCAUUUUAUCUUACAUAAUCUUCUGAAGAACUAUCAAUGUUUUUUUUAAAAAACCUUAGCAAUGGCAUCUUUCUCUCCAGUUUUCUCCAGUGAGUGGAUCUCAGGGGUCUCCAAGUUGAUUAUGAUCUGCUUCAUGUCUUGUCUGAGUAAACUACUGGCAAAGCUGUCAAAGAGACGCAUACAAAAGAGUUCAUAGAGUGGAGAGAAUAAACAAACAAAAAAAACUAUAUACAUGAACUCAAAGAGUAGGUGAUACCCAGAAAAAUAGAUACCCAAUAUUGAUAGCAGUCUCCAUUUUGUCACCAGUCAAAACCCAAAUCUUGAUUCCUGCUUGUGCUAGCUUGUCAAUGCAAUCAGGGACCUGAAAAAAAUCAAUGUUAAAAGUGUUUUCAAUACACUAAAAUGAUUAUAUGUAUAACAUCAGUGGCCAUGCUUACUCCAUUUUGGAGUUUAUCCUCAACAGCGGUAGCUCCAAGAAGGAUCAAGUCUUUCUCAACUUUCUCCGUGACUUCCUCUAUCAAUGAUUCUCUAUCAGCACUAACCGAGCUCUUUGCUUCACUGAUUCUCACACUAAAAUCUUUGUAUUCUUUCUCGUCGAGUUCACGGUAUGCAAGUAUCAAAGUUCUAAGGCCUGCAUCAGCAUACUCGUUGACAUGGUCCCUUGUUUCCACCUCAAACUCUCUACCGUUCUUAGAAAGUCUCUCAAACAUAACACUGGUCAAAGAAACAAAAUAAGUUCAAAAAAGAAGAUAUGUUUUUUUUUUAAUAAAGUCACACUUACUUGUCUGCUCCUUUACAAAGUAGUAAGAGCUUCCCAUCUUCAUCCUGCACUAUCACCGACAUUCUCUUCCUUGUGCUGUUGAACUCAAGAACGUUCAGCACUUUGUACAGCCUCUCAACUCUUUUGCCAGUCACAAGAUCAAGCUCUCUUACAGAUAUACUAGUUUGAGUUCUGUUAUAAAACUCAAACCCAAGCUCCCUUGCUGCAAUAACAAAAGCUGCUUCAUCAGGAGACUCAGCCUCAUAAGAGAUCUUCUCUGUGUCCUCAUCCCCUUCAGGUAUCACCGUAUGGCACACCGCAAGCAAUCUCAAAAACUUCUGAAUAACAUCAGCGUGAGGUUCAGUGACCCAGUUCCCAUUCAUUAUCCUCUCAUCUCUAAAAUUAAACCCUUUCACCUUGGCCUCUUCAGCAAACGGUUCCUUAUUGUACUCCACAUCAUCGCUCUGAAGCACCAGAGGAGAGCCUUUCCUCCUUCCCAUAGCCAUCUCAACCUCAGUGACGCCGCGUCCGUAAGCCGUCCCGGCGACAGAACACUUGAUGAACUCCAUGGAGUUGCAAGUCAAUGUCCCAGUCUUGUCGGAGAGGAUUGUAUCCACCUGACCAAGCUCCUCGUUUAAAUUAGAGGUUCUUGCACGAGCCGGCUUGUUGGCUUCCUCGUAGUACAUGUGGAUGUCUUGGUUGAUGAAGAUGCUCUGAAGGACUUUAACAAUCUCUAUCGAGACAUACAAAGAUAUUGGAAUGAAGUAGCUGUACAGCAUAGCCGCUGUUAGGAAGUGAUAGAAGGCAGCAACAUGAGCUCUCUUGGGGUCAAAGAAGAUAGAUGAGCUGUCUGGUCUCAAGUACCAUCUCUUCACCACACUGUCCUUGAAGUCAUCUCUCGUUGUGACUCCAAAGAUGACUGAGCCAAUGAAUGACAUCAGAACCACCAUGAAGAACAUGAGGUAGAUGAUCUUAUCCAUCUUUCUCUCAAUCAUGCUUCUCUUGGAAGGAGGAUCCGUUGAGUUCUGUAUGACCUUUGUGUCGUGACCGGUGAAGAUAACCGCGCCGAAGAUGAACUCCGUGUUCCUGAGCUUUGAGUCUCUGAGGAGAAGCUGCUGAGGCGAGAGAGGGUACUUGGUUCCUUUGAGCUCCAUGGUUCCGACAAAGGAGUACAAGUUGGCGUUUGGAUCCUCGCAUUUGACAAAAGCCUCAAAGCCCUUGAAGUUAAAGUCUUCCCUCAAGGAGGAAGUGACUUCUAGUCCUUGUUUGACUUUGAGAUUGGUUUCGCCGUCUAGGUUCAUCGUCUCUACGUAGCAGAUAGCGUCCUCGUAGCUAGAUGAAAGGAGAACAAGAUCUGCAGGGAAGAACUGGUUCUUUUCUACCUUCACUAUGUCUCCGACGCUUAAAGUCUUCCACUCCUUGGAAUCAAAGUUCCCAUCUCCUCUAUGCACUUUUACUCUCCUAUUAUUCACCUCAAUAUCCUAAUAACAUGAAAAUGCUUGUAUCUUUCAGACAAGAUCAAGAAAAAGACUAGUCAUGGGCAUAUUAUCCGAAACCCGAAAACCGAACUGGAGCUGAACCGAAUAAACAAAACCAAAACCCGACCAAAGUUUACAAAAACUCGAACGGUUCCUAUUUCUCUAUUCUCUACAAAAAAAAAUGGAAACCCAACCUGAAACCGACAUUAUCCGAACCCAUCCGAUCCAAAAGAUUCUAUAUUUGCAAAUACUCUCGGAAUAAGAAAUCAGUGUAGGCAGCGUCUAGGCGCCGCUUAGUGGAUAAAUCGGAUCUGAAUGAAACGAUAUUUUCAAUCCAUUCUUUUAAAAAGAAAUUGGUCUAGAUGUUCAAAAAAUCGUUCUUGGCAAUAAUUCUCUAUGAUGCGCCUAACCACUACUUAGCGCGAUUUAUUGAACAUUAAACAAGACCAUAAUUAAGAUUGCAAGAAACUAAAGAAUCAAAGAGUGUACCUGCUUGUUGCGGCGCCAAUCUUCAACACCUUCUUUAACCAUAGUAGCACCAAUAACGAAAAGGAGAGGAAAAAUGGCACUUGCAGCAGUGUAAGGAGCCAAGGGAGUGAAAGACAAGACGCCAGUGACCAAGAAGUAGAAGUUUGCGACUCUUCUGAACUGCUCAAAGAGCGAUUUUGGUAAGAAAGUGGCGAGAGUGUACUUGGUUGUUCUCACGUAGUUGUCGCUGUAGCUGCUCGAGUCAGCUUCGGGUGAAUCAGGCUCGUUGAUGAAGACGAGACGAGAGUAACCGGGUCCUCCGAUUUGAGAGUGGUCUUGCUUGAAAAACGCUUGAGUGCAUGUGAGUGUGUAGAGCUUGCUUAAGUGGAUUCUUCUCCUUCUUCGUCUCUUUAGUCCACUUCCUGCCAUUGAUAGAGAGAGAUCUGCAGGAGACAACAAAAAACUUUGAAUCUUUUUUGGAUAUUCAAGAAACCCUGAAAAUUAUAUUCAGACAGAACCGAAUUAUUAUAAUAACACCCGCGAGAACAUUUUAAAAAUGAAGAAAAAUAAAAGUAUCAUUUUUUGGCUUUUUUAAAUUAAAAGAAAAAGAAAAGAAAAAAAAAAGACAGUAAGCGAUUAAGGCAGGACCUCAAACCAACCGAGGAGAAAAGCAGACAAGACCGUGACUGGUUUUAUUCUCCGACCUCGUUUUCUGCGACUCUCUCCGGUUACCUAAAUUUGUUUUUUUUCUUUCUCGGGAAAAUGGAUUUAGAAAAAUUGAGUGAGUGAGAGAGCUGAGAUCAAGAAGGGUGUUUACGAAAGGUUGUGAUCUAUUAUGAGAAAGUUAAGAUCUUUUUAAUCUUACAAGCCAAGAAAAUGGAGCUUGAGUGAGAGAGAUCUCAUGGAUUUUUAUGAAUUUAUAGCCAGAAUGAUCUUCUGCCAAUCCAAACAAACUGGGAAGACGAAGAGGACGAGGAAGAAAGAAACAGAGAGAAAGUGCCAAGAUUCGGACAAGUCAUGGUUCCCUUUCUAGAAAUAAUUAAUAAUAAUGUUUGAUGGAAUAACAACAGCAAAUCUCAAAUCCUCUCAUAAAAAAAAAUAAUAAUUAAAAGCAUUCAAUAGAAGGAAACAAACUUUUGCUCUGUGUACAGACAGAACACAGAAAACUGGACUUCUUUUUUUUUUUUAAUUUGUAUGUUCUAAUGAUUGUCAGAUUAUCAGAAGAACAUACGAGAAAAAAAAAAAGAAGUGAGAAUUAAUUUUGGUUAGAGAGGGGAGAGAUGAAGAAGGAGAAGAAUCGAUUGGAGGAACAUUAGAUGCGCCGUCGUGGCUGAGAGAAGGUGAGACCAGCACACAAAAUGCGGGUCAAACACACUUUAAAUUCAUCUAUUGCAUGAAUGAAUUCUUCUUAUUAUUAUUUAAUAGUAUAGAUAUUCUCUCUUUAUUACUUCCUCCCUUUCGAUAUAAAUGAUGUCUCAGGUGAUUUUUUUUAUUUCAUAAUAGAUGAUAUUUUCACGUAACAAUAGAUGAUGUUUUCACAUAUCUAAUUAAUUUUAAUUUUAUCAAAAACUGUGUAGCCAAUUGUGUUUUUAUUAUUUUUGUUUAUAAUUAAAUAAAUUAGUUUUAAAUUAUAUUUUAAUGAUUUUUGUCUAGAAAAUAUAAUUUUUUUAAUAUGUGUGCAAAGAACCAAAACUUUAUCUAUUAUGAAACGGAGGGAGUGGUAUAUAAGUGACUCUUGCAGCAAAGGAUUGAUCCUUCUGGUAUAACCCAACCAUAAAUAGGAGGACUGUACAUUUAAUUAGAGUAAUUAAAAUGUGAUAUUAUUCUAUUUUUAAACCAUUAUAUUAUAUAUGCUCAUAUUACUUUUCUUCAUUUUCUCUUUGACUAAUAAUAUAUAUAAUGAGUACAACUCUAUAAAAAUGGAAUAAUUAAAUAUAAGAUGUUCUUAUGUUGAUUGCAAAAGUUCAUAUUAUAAUGAGAGUACUGAUGAACGAAGGUAGUCACGUCACAUAAGACUCACCAAAAGCACAUUAAAAUCGAUCUUCCAGUCAUAUUAUUAAGUUGAUCCGAUCCCACCAGACAAAACCCCAGUCUCGAGAUCAUAUGGAGAUAUCUUUUUUUAUGAUACUGUUGGAUUGCUUAUAGACUAUAGUGAAGGGAAUUUUUAGCUAACUCAAUCAGAUCCGAUCCAAUACAAGAAUGGAUGGUAGUUCAAACAAUUUAGAUAAAUGAAUUUAAACAUGGAAGAUCAUGAAUGUCAACAUAUCAUAUGCACAUUUUUGUUUGGUUUAAAAUUCAAAAUCCCACAAACACUCAAUUUAUCAUAAUAGUGCUAAUAAUGAAAUAUUUUUUUGCUCAAUGAGUUGGGGGAAGGACUUUAUAUUCUCAAGAAUUUGGUAUGGGUUAUUAGGGGACUUUGGAUUUAAUGCAUAAAACAUGCCACCGGCUUUGUAUAGUUUGGUAUGCAUCAUUUAUUGAAUGAAUGUGGCUUUCAAGUUUCAACUAAAUGUACUUCCUGGUUCACAAAUACCUCAUAAUUUAUUAAAAUGAAAAUUGAACAAUUAUAUUGAUUCAUAUCGUUAGUUUUGCUCUGUUUGAAACGCUAAUGCAUGCAAUUAAUCAACUUCCUCUUGGUGACAAAAAAUAAAUAAACUAAACGUCUGUUUCUGCCUUUCUAGGUAUCACUUAUGUAGAGGCAUACUUUUUGUUUGCAGCCUCUUAGGUUUUCUCCUGUUUUAGCCAUUACUAUGCUACAGCAAUGAAAGGUGUGUAAAAUCUAUAAUAGAUUCUAAAGAUCACGAUCAAUUAUUUUAUGCAUUUUGUUUCAUGCACACGCAAUCAUCGUAAUACCUAAUAGCGCUGGGAAUUUGAGUUUACGGUUCGGGUUAAGUCGGGUUAUUCGGGUUUCAAGUUAUUGAGGUUGUGGUGUUUAGGACUCGCUCAUGAACCGAACAUUUUUUUGGAUAGGGUCAGUUUUGGUCGGGCUCCUAUCUUUUUAUAAAACCCAAAACAUAACCGAGAAUUAGAAAUUGUUCGGAUUUAGUGUGUGGCGUUUGAUUUUGACUGCGAGGGAUCUUCCGCCGGAAUGGUUUCCGCACGACCCGGAGUGGACUUCUUCCAUUAUUCUUCGAGCUUUCUCUCCCUCUACGCAGGUCAUGAGUGGCCCGGAAAAUCUCCACUUGUAGAGUUCUCCGUCGACCAAGACGUAUCGCGCGGAUUGGGUCUUAAUCUUUCGGGCUGCCCAUUUUUCUGCCGGGAGUUUCCGUCGGCGAUGUAUGCGAGGAUAGAUUAUGUCCAAGGUUUACUGAAUCCAUACUCGGACAGCUCUGGAUCCUGCACUGCCUGGAUGUCGACUUCGUCGGGAUCGCCGUCGGGUGAAUCGAUUAAGUUUAUAAUGACAAGAGGCCCGAUGCUAGGAUGCUCUAUGAACUCUAUGGGAAUUACCCUGCUCAACCCCGGAUCUGAACUAGACGCCAAGGCGGCUAGGGCGUCGACCUGAACGUUUUCGGCACGAGGGAUCCGAGUGAGAGCGAACUGAUCGAAACUUUGAACCAAGUUUUGAACAAGAUUUAGGUAAGCAUCCAUUCUCUCGUCCCUUGCUUCGUAUUCCCCGUUGUAUUGGCUUGCUACAAGUUGGGAAUCGCAAUAGGCGUGAAUGCUGCGUAUCUUCAGGCCGUGAGCCAAUCGUAAGCAUGUGAUUAGGGCUUCGUACUCGGCUUCAUUGUUUGAGGCGUGGAACACUAGUCGAAAUGACUGUUCAGCACUUCCCCACAAACUUGACUAGCAAUUACAGCCAUAUACUUUGUUAUUACGUCCAUUGACUACCAUUUUACAGUCAUAGACUUCAUUACGUUUAUUGACUUACGUGUGGUAUACUUUUUUAUUAAUAAAUUAUACUUUAUAUAUAAUUAUUUUAAAAUUAAAUAAAUAAUAUUGUUUUGUAUUUUGGAUAUUCGAUUAUUUGUUCGAUUUCCGAUGGUUCUAGUUUUUUGGGCUUAGAGAAAUAAAAACUGUUCGGAUUAUUAUAAAUUUUGGUUUGGUUUCAGUUUUGCUUUUUUCUGAUUUGGUUAUAGUUCUGUUUUGGGGUUUUGGAUAAUAUACCAUAUUAAGUAAAUCAUCUUAACGUCGUUUUAGCUAAAUCACUUUCCUAAAUUUUAGUAGAGUUAAACAAUGUUCAAGCUCAUUUUAAAGAUCAGUCCUGUGAUUAAAUUUGUUGACGAUUGUUCGUCGUCAGCGAAUAUCGUUGAUGCUAGUUUUUAUAGUGUGCAUGGAUAUGCUGUAGGCGUUUUAAACGUUUAAGAAUAAACUUGACUCAUCUUGAGUUUGGGAUCUAGUUCCUUUCUUUGAUAUUUGUUUGCGGCCAAGCAUUACAAUAACAUGAAGGGAGUUUGGAAGACAUAACAAAAUCUUUCCUAGUGGUGCUCAAUUAUAAUACAAAUGCGCGCGAUUGACCCCAGGGGAGGGGGGGAGAUUAUUGGGCCAUAUUGGACCGAUGUAUCUAUUGUAAGUAGCCCGGUUCAUAUUACGGGAUUAGGGCAAAAGAACAUACGUUGUAUAUAAGCAGUUAGUCUGCGUUACUUGAUGAAUAAGAAGUAUCCUUUAUACUGCUGAGACUUCUUGACAUGGUAUCAGAGCAAGAAGCCUAAGUACUACAAGUUUUCUUGGCUCACUGAUUUUGAGAUCUCUUUAUCCGUUGCGAGGUUUGAUAAGUUAACAACUUCUCUUUGAAGCAAAGUAUAUAUGGCUGGUACUACAAUGACGAAGGGGCGACGUACAAUUUCGCCCUAUGACCUUACUUCUGGCGAUAACACAGUGACUGUCAUUGCCAAACCGCCUUUGCGUGGAUCUAACUACGACGAGUGGUCCACAGACCUUAAGUUAAAGAAAUUUGGUUUUGCGGAUGGGACAAUACCGCAACCCAGUGAAGAUUCAGAGGAUUAUGAAGAUUGGAUCGCAAACAAUGCACUUGUGGUAUCUUGGAUGAAGUUGACGAUUGAUGAGAACAUCUCAACUACCAUGUCUCAUAUCGAUGACUCUCAUGAACUCUGGACUCAUAUACAGAAUCGUUUUGAUGUUAAGAAUGGACAACGCGUUCAACGUCUUAAGACUGAUCUAGCGAACUGUAGACAGAAGGGAACUGUUAUUGAGACUUAUUAUGGGAAACUGUCUCUGUUAUGGAGGAGUUUAGCUGACUACCAAAAGGCUAAAAUUAUGGAAGAAGUAAGAAAAGAACGUGAGGAAGAUAAGUUGCAUCAAUUUCUCAUGGGGCUCGAUGAAACACUAUAUGAAGCAGUUAAAUCAUCAUUGUUGUCUCGUGUGCCUUUGCCAACGCUUGAGGAAGCGUACAACACUUUGAUUCAAGAUGAAGAAUCAAAACUAUUGGGACGCAUGAAUGAAGAACGCACUGACACUGUGAGUUUUGCAGUCCAAGCUGGCUCACGAUCGCGCCCUUCUAAUGAGAAUAGAGGAUUUUCUGAAAACAAAGUCUGUUCAAAUUGUGGUCGCAAGGGACACACGUCGAAGAACUGUUUUCGCCUAAUAGGAUAUCCAGAGUGGUAUGAAGAGAAACACAAGAACAAGCUGGGUUCCUCUCGCGGCAAUUUGAAUUCUGGUGCUGGGCGUGGCUCGAAUAUGCAAGGUGGUGUUUCACAAGGAAGGGGUAAUGGUGCUGGUCGGAGCUCUGCUCAGGCGAGUCAUGUUUUUGCGGGUGGAGCUUCAUCAUCUCCUUCUCUUACUUCAGCUGAUCGAAUGGGCAUAAGUGGACUGAGUGAUUCUCAGUGGAAGACACUUGUUCACAUGCUCGAGGAAAGAAAAACCACACCUAUGGAGCAUCGCUCUGGUAAGCAAUUUCUUGAAUCAUGGAUAUUUGAUUCUGGUGCGACUAAUCAUAUGACUGGAUAUUAUGAGUAUUUGUCUGAAGUUGGUGAUAUGGCUCCUGUUUUAAUCAAACUUCCGGAUGGUCGUUUUACUACUUCGACUAAACACGGAUACGUUCGUUUGGGUUCUUCUUUGAGCCUGCAGGAAGUAUUCUUUGUAGAUGGACUUCAUUUUCAUCUAAUAUAUGUUUCUCAGUUGACUCGAGACAGUGGUUGUGUUUUUCAAGUUACUGACAAGCUUUGUAUUCUUCAGGAUCGCAUCACGAGGAUGCUGAUUGGUGUGGGUGAGCAGGACAAUGGGCUUUAUUUUUUUAGAGGAUUGGAAAUGGCAGCAGCAGUACACGGUCAGAUUCGAACUCGACCGAUGUGUGGCACAGUCGCCUUGGACACCCCUCCUCUAAAGCCUUAAAGAUGUUGCAGUUUUCUGAUUUCAGUACUAGUUCUUUUGAUUCAAAGCUGUGUGAGAUUUGUAUUCGAGCAAAACAAACAAGAUAUUCUUUUCCUUUAAGCAUCAAUAAGACGAGUUUUGCAUUUUAACUGGUUCACUGUGAUCUUUGGGGUCCGUAUAGGACUACUGCAAUCUGUGGAUCGAGAUAUUUUCUCUUUGUUCUAGAUGAUUACUCUUGGGCAGUGUGGAUAUAUCUCUUACCUUCAAAACAAGAGGCACCCACGCAUCGCAAAAACUUCAUCGCUUUGGUUCAGAGACAAUUCUCGAUUCAAGUAAAAACAAUUCGUAGUGACAAUGGAUCCGAAUUUGUUUGUCUCUCACGUUUCUUUGCGGAACAUGACAUCAUCCAUGAGACAAGCUGUGUGGGUACUCCACAACAAAACGGACGGGUUGAACGGAAACACAUGCACAUACUUAAUACUGCACGUGCGCUGAGGUUUCAAGCGAACCUCCCCGUUGAUUUCUGGGGUUUAUGUGCUCUUACUGCUGCAUACCUUAUAAACAGAACACCGACAAAGCUUCUUCAAGGGAAAACGCCGUUUGAGAUGAUUUAUCACAGAUCACCACCAAUGGAUCAUCUCCGAGUAUUUGGUUAUGUUUGUUACGUUCAUAACCAAAAGCAUAGAGGUGAUAAAUUUGAAAGUAGAAGCAAUCGAUCAAUAUUUAUUGGGUAUCCUUUUGCAAAGAAAGGAUGGCGUGUCUACAAUUUAGAGACCGAUGUUGUAUCAGUCUCACGGGAUGUGGUAUUUCUCGAAACAGAGUUCGCGUAUCCACCAACAUCGAUCUCUUCUCCGACUGAUGAUGAACCUGAUCAGCCUACUGCAGCUGAUCCGAAUGAUCUAGACUCUCUAGUUAGAGAGAGUGCAUCGCCUAUUCCUACUACUGGAACGAUGCUCCCCUUGCUAUUGCAGCUGAUGUAGCUCAACCUAUUCUUGCAGAUGCUGGAUCUUCUUAUGUCAUCAUUGACGAUAGCGACGAAGUGGGAACUGUGUCUCUGCCUUCGCUUGUUCUUACUCCUGAACCGGUGGUAGUUGCGCCUCCUGUUCAUACUACUGAAGAAGCUACUUCUGAAUAGGAACCUGAACCUCUUGGCCGAGGUUUUAGAUAGAAGAAGCCACCUACAUGACUUGCUGACUAUGUAGCAACAUUGUUACAUGAACUGACACUUUCGGCUACUCCAUAUCCUCUUGAAAAUUAUCUUUCCAGCGAGCACUUCUCAAUGAAUUAUCAAGCGUUCCUUGCUGUGAUAACUUCUGCUGUUGAACCACAGACUUACGCAGAGGCAAUCAAAGAUGAAAAAUGGAGAUUUGCAGUAACUCAUGAAAUUGAUUCUCUUGAAGAUCAAGGUACAUGGACAGUCGAAGCCUUACCUCCUGGAAAGAAAGCACCUGGUUGCAAAUGGGUAUUUAAAAUUAAAUUCAGAGCAGACGGCACGGUUGAGAGAUACAAGGCUCGGUUAGUGGUUCUUGGGAAUCAUCAAUAUGAAGGCAUUGAUUAUACUGAGACGUUCGCACCUGUCGCAAAGAUGGUUAUGGUCUGUACUUUUCUUCAGCAAGCAGUAUCUUUAGACUGAGAAGUACAUCAAAUGGAUGUUAAUAAUGCAUUUCUUCAUGGAGACCUCGAAGAGGAAGUGUAUAUGCAGUUUCCUCCUGGUUUUCGUACCAAUGACAAAACAAAAGUAUGUCGUUUGUGAAAAUCGCUUUAUGGCUUAAAGCAAGCGCCUCGAUGUUGGUUCGGAAAAAUUGCGGCUGCUUUGAAAGAGUAUGGUUUCGAAAAAAUCAUUCUGAUUACUCUCUCUUCAUUUAUGCUGCAGCUGGAGUUCGGUUACAUGUACUUGUGUACGUCGAUGAUUUGAUCAUCACUGGAAGUUCUGCUGCGAUUAUCACUGAGUUCAAACAGUAUUUGAGUACGAAAUUUCAUAUGAAGGAUUUGGGAGUCUUGCGAUAUUUUUUGGGGAUUGAAAUUGCUCGCAGUCCCGCAUGAAUUUACUUGUGUCGACGGAAGUAUGCUCUGGAUAUUAUUACAGAAACUGAUCUUCUUGGGGUCAAGCCUGUCUCGUUUCCUUUGGAACAAAAUCACAAGCUUGCUCAUGCCAAAGAUACUCCAUUCUCUGCACCGUCCAGAUACCGUAGACUGAUUGGUCGUAUCAUAUAUCUUGGAGUCACGAGACCAGAGCUUUCGUAUGUGAUACAUUUAUUGUCGCAGUUUAUGAAUGAUCCGCAAGAAGAACAUUGGAAUGCUGCUCUUCGUGUUGUACGAUACCUAAAGAAUAGUCCAAGACAGGGAAUACUUCUUCGUGCAAACACUGAGCUGAAGAUUACAGCAUGGUGAGAUGCGGACUGGGGCACUUGUCCGACCACUCAUCGUUCACUCACGGGAUGGUUCAUGCAAUUAGGAGGUUCUCCGGUAUCUUGGAAAACACAUAAGCAUGAUGUUGUCUCGCGAUCGUCUGCCGAGGCAGAGUACCGCGCAAUGGCUGAUACUGUUAGCGAACUUCUUUGGUUUCGCGGGUUGCUUCCAGAAAUGGGGAUAACGUGUGAUGCUCCUAUUGUUCUCCAUUCAGAUAGUAUGUCUGCAAUUCAUUUGGCCAAGAACCCUGUGUAUCACGCUCGCACCAAGCAUGUUGGGAAUGAUUGCCACUUCAUUCGAGAUGAGAUCAUUCGAGGCACGAUUGCAACUAAACAUGUCUCGACGAAGUCGCAGCUCACGGAAAUUAUGACAAAGGCACUGGGACGUCGAGAGUUUGAAGAAUUCCUUGGCAAGCUGGGUGUUUGUAACCUCCACACUCCACCUUGAGAGGGGGUAUUGGGCCAUAUUGGGCCGAUGUAUCUAUUGUAAGUAGCCCGGUUCAUAUAACGGGAUUAGGGCAAAAGAACAUACAUUGUAUAUAAGCAGUUAGUCUGCGUUACUUGAUGAAUAAGAAGUAUUAUUUAUACUGCUGAGACUUCUUGACAGAGAUGGUUAAGAACGGGAGAAGCGAGAGUAGGUUCAUUUUUGUCAAAAUGUGAUCUAAGGUCUAAUUUUCGUGUCUAGCCAGCUUAUAAACGUCAUUGAAGAAAAUAUAUGUACCUCUGACAUAAAGUGUGUGAUCGUGGAUUCGUGGGUAUAUCUUAGCUUUAGUGUAUUCGAAUUCACGAUAUGUGAAGAUGUACGUGACUUAGAGCAGGAUUAUCGCGGGUUACAAGAAGGGGUUUCAAGUGGUGGGACCCAUUUUUUGGGUUAAAAACGGUAACAGAGGAGAGGAAAUAAGGAUCGACUUUGGUAUAUUUCUUGCACUAUUCAUAGACCCCACUGACACGUGACGACCCGCGAUUGGUGGUCUUUUUAAUUUUUUUUUUUUUUAAUCAGCUUGAAAAAAAAAUGGGAAAAUUUGUGCCUAUGAAAACCUGGUCUUAACCUUAGUUAAUUCUAGAUGAAUGGCCUAGUGCGUCGCUCUCAAUGGAAGUAUUUUAGUUGUUAUUGUGUCACUAGUCGAGUUUAAUAUUAUGAAUUUUUUUUUGACAAUUUUAUUAUAUUUUGAUAAUUGGUACGAAGUGAUAUUUAUGAGGUCAUUUGUUUUUAAUAUUUGUUUUUAAAAUACACAAAAGUACAAUAAAAAUAUUUUGUUUAUUACAAAAGUCAGCAAUAGAAACUAUCAUAAAGUCACAAGGUACAUAUACGCAUAAAUGAAGUAUUACGGGUGAUCUUAAUUUGUAGAAUUGAUCAUCACCAUAUGUAUUAACUCAACUUUUUACUCUGUACGUAUAAACGAUUUGCUUCGUUCACUCUUAGAAUCAGAACUCUAAAAGUUAAUUAAUUGAUCAUAUGUGGUACACUGGUACUUGUCAUUAUGGCACCAAGCGAAUUUCACUUUACGGCGAAUGAGAACGCAUCCGAUUUUUUCAUAUAACUAACGUUUGAAUUGUUUUCGAGCAUGAUUAACCCAGAAUUCUUAGAAUAGGGUUUUUAGCGGAAGUUAAGAAUCUCACUGUAAGAACUCCGAGUUAAUCGUGAUCUUAUGUGGCAUGAAUUAUCUCAGAGUUCAGAGGUCGACUCGUAUUUUAUUAUAAUAUGACAUCGAUGUGUGCUAAUUUAAUAUUUUUUAUUGAUGGCUUAUCCAGUAGUUUAGAAGUUGUUUAAAAAGUUGAGCAAAUAGAUUUUAUAUGAUUCGUAGACCGAAUUCAAGAUUUGGGAUUUUCUCAAAAUAUCUGAAUUUGGGAUAAUUUUGUUUAUUAUCUGGAUAUCUAUACUAAAUUCUUAUGCUUAUAUUCUAACUACCGUGAUAACACGUAAAUAUAUUGUAUAUAUGUCACUUUAUCCAAAUACUUUUAAUGCAUUUGUCUAAACAUGAGAAAGUCAGCAGUCUGCAGUAUUUUCGUAUGCGUUUAAUCCGGUAAAUCGAACUAAUACAAUGUUAACCUAAUUAACAAAUCAAUUCAGAAAACUAAAUAUAUUUGAUUAUGUUUUAAAUAGAAUCAUGUUUUUUCAUUGGGAAUCAAGAUAAAAGUUUUACAAUAUAUAUAUAUAUAUAUUUAAAUUCAUAAAUCAGAAAUCUUAAAAGACAAAAUCUAAGAGGGAACCUAAAUUCUGAUUAAACAACACCGCUAUUUAUUUCUCUUACCGAAACACUCGAGCUGUAUUGUAUGCGUGGUGACCGUUUGGCACGAAAUAAUUUGCAUCUAUUCGUGGGUCGGGUUCACUAGUCAAAGUAUCGAUUGCGUAACUUUUCAAGUUACUGGUCCGUUGAUUUGUGGUAAUUCUUGGCACAUCUAAUCUACGAUAAAUUAAAAUUAGUUUUCUAUUUUAAAGUUGUAAUAUACUAUGAAUUUAGCUUCAAAAAACAUAAUUUGUUUUAUGCAAAUGCAACGAGAUGCCACACUCUCAAUAAUGUCGACAUGAAAAAGGAAAAUAAGACUAAUAUGCCCAUGAGAAUAUCCCCAAGAUUCCCCAUGCAAACGAGAGUAGCUACAGUAAUUAUAUAAUACAAAUCAUGUCUUAUAUAUUCAGUUAUCCCUUAUUGUCAAUUAUUUACAAAGCCUACCAUAAUUUUCAUUAAGCAAACAUACAUUGAAUAAUUACAUAUAUUGACGCAGUAAUAUAUUUCGAACACGAUGAUAGAGAUACACAUACUCCCUAAACAUGAUCCAAAGUACUCAUAAAUCUACCAAGCUACAAAACGGUGUCCAACAUUUGAUUAUUUGUAAUGGUUAUUUAUAUAUCUUCGGUGGGUGUCUCCUCAUCGGUAUCAGGCAAAUUAAAGAAAACAAAAGCAAAUAAGUUUCUAAAUUGCCCGUACGUGUGAAGUUUGAACAAUUUAUUAGUAAUGCAGUAGUAAUGCAUGAUACCGAUUAUUUAUUCAUGAAUCGACGUUGACGGGAAGAAAAAUAAUAAUUGAUGUUGACAUGAAUAAGGAGAGCUUGCCACGAAGAUGGUAGGAGCCGACAGAAAGCUAAAGUCCAUAAUUAAUUAUUUUGUUAAAAGAUAGUACUAAUGAUCGACUAUAGACCAUAACUUAGUAUUCCUCAUUUAUUAUUGUCUAUUUUCUACCAGCGAUGAUAAACACAAAUGAAACACACAGCAAAUUGUAAAUUCUGAUUCGAGAUGCAAUCUUAGAAACCUUAGCAAAGAAAACUUUAGAAUGCAACCAAACCAACUCAAAGUAAACCGAAAGAAUUAAUUGAGUCGAUGUUCCAGUUUUUGGAAGUAAAACCUCCAUUAUAUGCUGGUUAAUUACAUUUUUAUCAUUAAACUUUGAAAUGUUAUAAGAGAUCUAUGUUUAUUUAUUUAUUUGUGAUUAAUUAAUUCUCUGAUAUUUAUUGGAAAUAUUUGGAUUAUGCGGCCAAUAUAAUUUCUUUUAAGUGCUUGUAUAAUUAAAUAAAGUUGGUAGCCAUAUAGUCUAAAGUUGUGAUUGGUAUUUACGAUACUUUUUCCCUAAAGAUAAUUACUUUAAGAUGUUGACGAUGAAAUCCACGCGGUUUACGGAAUCUUCAGUUAACCGAGACAAUUAUUCCAUUCCAUCAAAUGUGAUUUGAGAAAUUAAUUGAAUGCUAAAUAUUUUCUCAAUCAUGGUUAACAUUUUAAUUUAGACUUCCGUAUACUUGACAUUUUCUUUUGCUUUUUGCUUUUUGUAUAUUGUUUACACUCUACAAACUUGAAUACACAAUAACAACAAACACAAUCCAUUAUCAGGUGUGCAACAUAAGUACAUUAAGUAGGGAACAAAACCAACGGCGAGACAGUGAAGCAACUUCUCUCGCACAAAAAAUCUUGUAAAAACAAUUGAUAAAAAGCGUUUAAAAUCGUCUGAUGUUAAGCGAAACAUAGGAAAUACAUAGUAUGAGGAUAUACAAUAACUUGCUACCUAUAACUAAACAGUAUAUAGAUUUAUCGCUAAUUAUUGAAUUUGUUUAGACUAAUGAUUGUGCUACUUUUGUAAUCUCUAAAUUAUCAAAACUUAUUGGACCAUAUAAAAUUAAGUGGAAGGUUGUUUCAUAUUGUAUAAAUAUCAUAUCGGAGACUUGGCAUUUCCGAUGAUAUUUUUACGUACACAUCCCAUUCGUAUCAUCUAAGGACACCACUUUGGUCAGUACAAGUGUACAACAUCUUUGGUCUUUUUUUCGUCAUCCUUUUGACGCAAUUAUAUGUAACUUUAGUGUUGUCUUAUUUUCUUUUGCCUCUUCGAUCUCUCUUUUUUUUAUUACUACUUUUAGAGCUACACUUUACGUUGCUAAAAAAAAAACUACACUUUAGAGCAUCUCCAAAAAACAUUAUAUAACUUCAAAUAUGAAGUUUUUUGCUCUCCAAAAAAGAACUUCAAAACUUCAAAUUUAAAGUUUUGAGGAGUCAAACUCUAUAUUUGAAGUUUCACUACUCAAAACUUCAAAUUUGAAAUUUCAUAUUUUUAUUUGUAUUUUGGUCCAUACAAUUACACAUCACAUUUAUAAUUCAUAAUUUUUUUAUUAUUAUUUUCAUCCUUAUAAAAAUUAUAUCUCAUAAGUAUUUUAAGUUUUGUUUACAAAAUUUAAGUUUACACAUAAAAUUAAAUAAAACUUUAAAAGAAGAUUUAAAAUAUUUAAAACUAGAUUUAGAUAACAAAAAUAUACAAAAAAACUUAACAAUUUUUUUUUAAGAAAUUACAUGAAGACAUAACUAUUAGACAAAUUUAAAUAUUACAAUGACACUAAUAGUCAGGUAAUUUUAAUCCGGAACCUUUAAAAUUUCCAAAUAUUGUCCAAUUUUUUUUGUGUAAUUGAAGAUGAUUGUUGUUGUUGAUGAUGUCUUUUCGUACAAUUAUUUCUUGUUCUUAUAUUCACGAGUAUUAAUAUCAUCGAUAAAAGUUAGUUUUUAGCAAUAUUUUAUGUUUUUCUUUUACUUUCUUGUUCUGAUCUAAUGUAUUUACAAGUAUGAAUAUCUCCUGAUUUCAACAAUUUUUUAUCUCUAAUCUACAAAUUAAAAAUGAGGAGAGCUAUUUUUCCUUCGAAAUGCACUAGUAUAUCAUAUAUGCAUUACGAAAAUCGCUUUAUGGAAUAAUAUGGUAUUUUGGUUGAAGCUUAAUAUUAAUUAAGUUAUUUUGUUUAAAAUUUUAUAUUUUAAUAUAAUAAUUUAUUAAUUAAUAUUGUUGUAAUAUGUUUAUAUAUGUGUUAGUUAUUUAAUUUUUUUUUAUGAAUUCAAAUUAGUAAUGACAAAUAUAAGGACCAUAUUAUAAAAUACAAAUAGUUUUGAAGUUAAGUUUGAAGUUUUGCUUUUGGAGAAAAACACCUUUAAACUUCAAAUAUAGAGUUUUGAAAACUUCAAAAUAGAGUUCAUUUUUGGAGACGCUCUUACAAGCCAUUUUUCAAUUUAUGUGUUGUGUGGUUUGAUUAUAUUGGAUGAAUUCAAAUAUAUUUUCAAAGCAUCAAAUGCUUUAUUUUCUUUUUGGUAAAUUUCAGUUAAGCUCUAGAUAACGACAAAAGAUAACUAUAUUCUAAACCUGAUUUCUAUAACUAGAGCUCUCUUCCAAUGAUAAAACUAAACACCUAUACAAAACCCAAAUUUUGCGGCAGGGCCAAGUUAAGAAAGACAAAUACCGAGAAGUGAGUUAACUUCAACAAAUGUAAAAGAACAUUAAAAUUUUAAAAUAAUAGAAAAUGAUAAACAAAAGCAAAGACGAUGGACCACACACAAAAUAAUAGCAAGUGAGCAGGACGAAAAAUGGAAAAAGAAGAAGAAAGGGAUAAGAAAAAUAGUUGGUAAAAUCUAACUGCCACAAUACUAGAAAAAGAGCAUAGAAAUGGGAAGGCAAACAGAGAAGCCUAAUUGGCUAAUGUCCAACGCAUGUCACUCUACCUACAAAUCUCAGUGGUCCUUAACAUCUACUUCUAACCAACCUCUUGAGUACAAUUAUCUAGAAAAUGCAUACAUACACAUAAGUCACGUAACAAAACCAUUACUGACAUCACCAUGUUAUAUCAUCAUGCCUUUAUGAAAUUAACAAACAUUGUUUUAGUCGUGAUAUACAGAAGAUAACAGCUAUCGGACCAAUAAUCUGCCUUGAUGAUAGGAGAUAUUUUUCGUACCAAUUGUUUAUUUUUAAUAUUUUACUUACCAUCCUUUAUUUUUGGGACGCGGAGAAUUUCAUGUAACAAAGAGCUCAAGACCAGAUGGUAAGGCCCCUUGCUUCCCUAGUGUGUGGGUGGGUUUUUGUUUUUGAAGAAACAAUAUUUAUGAGAAGAUGUCACUUUCUAAAAUUCUUAUUGGAUUAGGUAUUUUUUGGAACUGCGUUAUUAAAAACUACCCACUUUUUACAAUCUGUUCAUUAAAAACUUGUCAAAAAUAUGUUCUGGUCUAUCAAAACUUGCUCAUCACUUAGUAAUAAUGCUCCUUUUUAACUAAACACUUAAACUUAGUCGAUUAGAAACCAAACUAGUAUAUAUUUUGCACAUAUAUAUAUCUUACAAGUAACUCAUCCAUAGACAAGUUUAUAGGUGCUAGAUCUCGAAGCUGGACAUGUUUUGAUAGAACAUAACGUACUUUUGAACAAGUUCUGAUAGAAAAUAUCAAAAGUGGUAGUUUCUAAUACUUUUUUUUCUUAAUAUGGUAGAUCCAAAAGAUUUUGUUUUAAAAGGGCUAAAUGAGGAAAAACCUAAAUAGUGUAAUAAAAUAAUUAUACAAGAGGAAUUUAACACUUUUGAUUUAUUGUAGUACUGAUUCAUUGUAACGUCUUGAUGCGUCAACGUGAGCCCAUGUACAUAUUCUUAUCAAUGGGUUUCACCCUCUUCGAUAUCUUGCGCGUUAUCGAAAGAGUUCAAAAGAACUGAUAUAACCCUGUAACAUGAUCAUAUCCCAUAUUUUGUCCUAACUCAUACGAUAUUAAGAUUGAUCAGCAAUCAGCAAUCUGAUAGGUUAUCCAUUUUUUAAUUAGUCCAGUUCAAACAUAUUCAAAUGGUUAACUGGAAAAUCAAGUGUAUUUUAUAUCAGAGGCAACCAACAUCAAUUUUUAUGUCUUUUCUAUUUAAUCUACUAACUGGGGUAUUACGUACGUUGAUCCCACAGUCCGCAAUAGCAUCUCCAGCUACUGAGACUCUAACCCUACCUUAACUUCUGACAUGCUUUUUUGGUUUUCAACUUCUUAAGACCUAGUCUGCUUGAUAUCACGGAUUGCGAUCUCUUCUUCAACAAUCUCUCUGCAUGAUUGCGAUCUCUUCCUCCUCUAUGCUGUUUAUACUUGGACAAAGUAUUUUCUUCUAUUGAAGUAUAAAAUCUAUGGGUCUUUGCCCGUAGCAAACACUAUCUGGCCUGGGCUGUAUCAUCUUUGUAUCUUUUUAUUUAAAUAGCAAACUUAUCCUCAAAAACAAAUAUACCACCAUAAUUACAAAUUACAAUAUCGGCCUAAUCAUUUUCAAUAUGUUAGAUGAAGCCCAGUAUAUUCAACAAGCCCAUUAUAUUUUUAGUCUCGAAUUCAAUUUUAUUAACUCAGAUCCACCUACUCCUACCGGUCAUUAUCCCUUGAAACUCCUGAACAAGAUGGCAUCAGAUCUUACCGGGCGCUUUUAUGUCAGUAGAAGAAGCUUACCUCCAAAUCCUCAGUGUUUAUGUAUGUUUAACGCAGCCAAAACAACACGUUUUGUGUAAUAUUAAUUCCCAGUGUCUUUUUGUUCAUUGUAAUGCCAUUGGUUGUAACAUUAAUGCACAACUUCAACUGAACACUACCAAUAAAAACGUUUGUGAAAAAAGGUAAAUGUUAUUGCCAGUGAUCUAGACUCGUUACCAGUUUUAGGUCGGAAGGAAGCAUCAGUCCCAUUUAGUUUAUGGUUAACACGUUUUUUAGUUGAUUAGUGCGUAAUAAUGACCUGAAAUUAUAGCCUAUUCUCCGCUACAGUUAGAAGCAACGUAGCAUUCUGAUGAAGACUUGAUCUGUUUAAACCACACCUAACCCAUCGUUGCACCAAACUUUCUUUUUUUCAUUCAUACUUCAAGAAAUCUCAAUGCUCCUAAACUCUUUAUAUAACACACACAAUACUUCACCAAUUGUGACUUGGAGCUUCCAUCUCAAACACAAUGGAUUCAACUUCAAUCAUUUGGUCUCUUCUAUUAGCUUUUGCUCUUAUCUCUCCCUUUAGUGUCAAUGCACAAGGACCUGCCGCUUCACCAGCAACCCCCACCACCACUACUCCUCCUCCAACCAUCACUGUUCCUCCACCAACAACCACUGCUACGCCACCAACAACCACUGUUCCCCCCCCAACAACCACUGCUCAGCCUCCAACAACAGUCGUUCCGCCCGUUUCAGCUACUCCGCCACCAGCAACACCGACUACACCUCCACCAGCAGUUACUCCAACUUCAUCACCACCAGCUCCAAAGGUUGCACCAGUAAUCAGUCCAGUAACUCCACCUCCACAACCACCACCAAGCCCGCCCGUUUCAGCUCCAACCGUCUCACCACCACCAGCUACACCACCACCUGCACCGGCCUCUCCUCCACCGGCGUCACCACCUGCACCAACUUCUCCACCACCAGCACCAGCCUCACCCCCUCCAGCGCUUACGCCAAUAACUCUACCACCAGCUCCAGCUCCUGCUAAGCACAAGAAAAAGCACAAACACAAGCGGCAUCACCAUGCCCCGGCUCCAGCACCAACUCCUCCAAGCCCUCCAUCUC
This 25616-nucleotide long non-coding RNA is filed under the name Brassica napus (rape). RNAcentral describes it as "long non-coding RNA (BNAP_LNC019146)". Lineage: Eukaryota; Viridiplantae; Streptophyta; Magnoliopsida; Brassicales; Brassicaceae. The record is from RNAcentral.